UAGUCCACGCCGUAAACGAUGGAUACUAGCUGUUCGGACUUCGGUCUGAGUGGCCCAGCGAAAGUGAUAAGUAUCCCACCUGGGGAGUACGAUCGCAAGAUUGAAACUCAAAGGAAUUGACGGGGGCCCGCACAAGCGGAGGAACAUGUGGUUUAAUUCGAUGAUACGCGAGGAACCUUACCUGGGCUCAAACAUUACUGGACCGCUUCUGAAAGGAAGUUUCUCUUCGGAGCUGGUAGUGAGGUGCUGCAUGGUUGUCGUCAGCUCGUGCCGUGAGGUGUUGGGUUAAGUCCCGCAACGAGCGCAACCCCUAUUCUUAGUUGCUAGCAGGUAAUGCUGAGGACUCUAGGAAGACUGCCGGCGUAAGCCGCGAGGGAAGGUGGGGAUGACGUCAAAUCAUCAUGGGCCUUUAUGCCCAGGGGCUACACACGUGCUACAAUGGUCGGUACAGAGGGGUCGCGAAGCCGCGAGGGUGGGAGCUAAUCCCACAAAACC
RNAcentral lists this ribosomal RNA (495 nucleotides) under uncultured bacterium. Its description in RNAcentral is "bacterial SSU rRNA". It matches the Rfam family "Bacterial small subunit ribosomal RNA", at positions 791 to 1283 of the family's 1533-position model. The record is from RNAcentral.